UUUUCUUUAAAAGAAGAUAAUCCAAUCUGAGUUCUGGGAACUAGGUGAUGGAGCGUGUUCUGAGAACGGACUGAGACCG
Molecule: non-coding RNA, 79 nt
Organism: Cervus elaphus (red deer)
Lineage: Eukaryota; Metazoa; Chordata; Mammalia; Artiodactyla; Cervidae
Product: small Cajal body-specific RNA 18
Exons: 1
Source: RefSeq, a predicted model, not a curated record